AAGGGUUUAAGUGAAGAGCAAGAAGAGGAAGAAGAAGAAGAAGCAAUGGAGAAAUCAUCAGAAAGCAAUUUCCCAAAACUGGAGAAACCUUCGGGCAAGAAACAAACAGCGACGGUUGUGGUCGGAGCGUUGGCGGUCGCAUGGUUGGCGAUAGAGAUCGUGUUUAAGCCAUUGUUCAAGAAAUUCAACUCCUCCAAGGACAAAUCCGAUUCCGACGAUGCCACUGCUCCUCCUCCCCCGUCCGACGCCUGAAGCUGAGGCGAACAGCCUCUCGGGGUGACACGUGGAGGUCUUACUCAAGUUUAUAAGCAAAUCUUCUUGUGUUUCUGUUCUUGUUUCUUGUGUAGUAUCUUUCCCUUUUAUUGCUUUGACGAUGCUUUUAAUUAAUCUCGCUUUUCCUUUUUAAUAAAAUCCCGAGAUGGAAUAAUAAAUCAAUGAGCUACGCAUGUAAUUGAUUUCAUUUUCCUAGUAAUUACCUUGGGCUCUCUCGACUAUCGGUAAUUUUUUUUACCAUAAAAUAUAAGUAGAUAAUUUAAGAGUCAUUUUCGCAUUCCUUUUUUUUUUUUUUAAUUUUCUUUUGGUAAUAUCAGUUUGGUGUUGGAUCUCUACUAACACAACGAGCAUGAAAAAUAGUUAAUUACACAGACUAAGAGAAUUAAGGUUUGAGUUGGGUGUUAAUUUUGGCGGUUUCUUGUGGCUACAUUGUUAAAUAUACUACGAUCUAAAAGAUACAGGAUUAGUAGUAAAGAGUUUCGAAAAGUACUUUGUUCAACGUAAGAAAAAAUGAUAAAAUGAGAAGUGAGAAAACUGAAUAAUAAGCAAAAUUGAGUUCAAUUUUCUCUAUUCAAAAGUGUGACAUUGAAACGGCGUCGUCUGAUUGGUAUAAAUUGAAAAAGGAGGCCCUGGCCCAUUAAGAGAAAUCCUUUAUGGCAAAGACAUAAUAAGCUUGCGGAGCACGUGUCGGGUCAACCCGAACUGAAUUCUGGAGCAUCCAUCCACGUCAGUCGGGGCCGGCCAUCGUAGAUGAUCAACCUCAUCUCCGAAACAUUUUCCUCUCUAUCUCUUAUUCAUCUCUCAGUUUCUGGUUUCUCAGAUGCUAGGUGGAUUCGGAGGAAAGUCAUCUGCCGGAGGCCGUAAAAGCCUCAGAGUCGCCGUCGCUGGCGACAAAGGAACCGGCAAAUCCAGCCUGAUCUCGGCCGUCGCCUCUGAAACCUUCCCGGAUAACGUCCCGCGCGUCCUUCCUCCGACUACUCUCCCCGCCGACGCUUACCCUGACCAUAUACCUAUCACCAUCAUCGAUACUCCCUCAAGGUCUUUAUGCUUUUCCCUGUCUGUUAAUUUAUCUUUGCAUUGUUCUUCUCCUUCUAAGCAAAGUAGUCCAAAUUGUCAAUGGUUAAAAAUGUAUGAAUCAUCACCUUGCGUAUCUGAAGUAUUAUAAAUUCAAUUCCCCGUCAUUGGUUUUUCUCAUACUGGCUAAUUUUUAAUUCGAUUUUAUUGUUUGAAUUUGUACGGAUUGAUCCUCAAUCUGCUGAUAUCUGUGAUGUUAUUUGGCAUUAGCAUUGACAAUAGGAUAAAGCUCAUUGAAGAAUUCAGGAAAGCUGAUGUGGUGAUUCUGACAUAUGCUUGUGAUCAGCCUGCAACGCUUGAUCGCUUGAGUUCUUAUUGGCUCCCUGAGCUCCGGCGGCUAGAGGUUUGUUAUUUAUUGGUGAAAAUUUUUUCAUUUAUGGUUUCUCCACCAUGGAAAGUAUCAAUUUAUAGUUAUAUGUACAUAUGUAGAUCAAAGCACCAGUGAUAGUGGUGGGCUGCAAGCUUGAUUUACGAGAUGAACGCUCUCCCGCGAACCUAGAAGAUAUAAUGGCACCAAUCAUGAAGGAGUACAGAGAGAUAGAAACCUGUAUAGAGUGUUCUGCAUUGACUCUUAUUCAGGUAUGUAAUGCUUUUUAGUAGACCUUUCUCUCUGGGGGAAAAUAUUUCCCAAUACAGUUUUUAGCAUCUUAUCUUUUGGAGAAGAGUGAAAAUACCACAAAAUGUGCAAGGCACCUCAAAACUGAUAAUAUUGAAAGACCAAGCAAAAUCGUGCCCACGAUUGAGUUCUUUAUCUGAUUACAAACAGGUUCAGACAGAUCGUGAUUUAUUUUUUAUUUUUUUCAGGCCCCUGAUGUUUUCUAUUAUGCAUCAAAAGCGGUCCUUCAUCCAACAUUUCCGUUGUUUGAUCAAGAAAAACAAUGUUUGAAACCUCGCCUCCGCAGGGCAGUACAAAGAAUAUUCAACCUUUGUGAUCAUGAUUUGGAUGGUGCCCUUAAUGACGCGGAGUUGAAUGAUUUCCAGGUUCUCUUUCUCUGUUGGCCACCGAUUAUUGCAUUCGUGAAACUUCCUCAUCCUUCUAUAAAUAUGACGCUGCAAAUUUUGUUAACAGGUAAAUUGUUUUGGUGCCCCACUUGACCCUGUUGAACUUAUGGGAGUGAAGAGAGUGGUACAAGAAAGGCAACCAGAUGGAGUCUCUGAUCUUGGUCUUACACUUCCGGGCUUCCUUUUUCUUUUUUCUCUUUUCAUUGAGAGAGGUCGCCCUGAGACAGCCUGGGCUAUCCUACGGAAAUGUGGUUACAAUGAUUCUUUAGAACUCAGCACAGAGUUACUACCCGUUCCAGCAAAGAAUUCUCCUGAUCAGGUGUGUGUUGCUUUAAAUAGUACUCAACUACCAGAAUAUCUCUAACUCUUUUUUUUUUCACUUAAAAGAUACGAGGCUUGCCUACCUUUAAAUAAUGUUUGCACUCUAUUCACUUGCAGAGCAUCGAGCUAACAAACGAAGCUAUGGAAUUUCUGAGUGGAAUUUUCCAGUUAUAUGACCUUGAUAAUGUGUGUAUGCUCGUUUCUCUAAUUAUCCAGCCUUGUUUCUGUUGUUCUUUAUCACCUCGAAGUAUAUUUAAUCCUCAAGGAGCAGUGGUAGUUCUUUAAUGCUUCUUCGUUUUGCUGCCAUUUAGGAUGGAGCCUUACGGCCAGCUGAGCUAGAUGAUUUGUUUCAAACAGCUCCAGAUAGGUAAUUUUAUGUUGCUUGUUUUUUGUGUGAUUCGUAGCUAAUUACUACCUCUGUAGUUUAUGGUUAUCAACUGUUCUUCCAGUGUUUAGUGAUUUAAUUUUCUCUCUUUUAAAUUUUCAUGCCAGUGUCUUUAUUGCUCUUUUACAAGAAUUUGUAAAUUGUUUCUUUAGCAAAUUUUUUUACCUGUACAAUCUGCUUUUAAGAUUUCAGUCCUUGGGUUGAGGGUCCUUACAAAGAUGCUGCAGAGAAAACGCCAGGCGGAAAUUUGACAGUCAAUGGGUUUCUGUCUGAGGUUUGUAUGUUUGCUUUUUUUUUUUUGACGACGCUGAUUUAGAAUCAAGCUUUCAUUGAUCAACAUAUGCUCUGUUAUAUGCGCUAAUGCAGUGGGCUCUAAUGACUCUACUAGAUCCUAGAAAAACAUUGGCAAACCUGAUAUAUAUCGGUUAUGGUCACGAGCCAUCUUCAACAUUUUCUGUUACUAGGAAAAGAUCAGUGGAUCGUAAGAAGCAGCGAACAGAAAGGAAUGUAUUUCAGUGCUUUGUAUUUGGCCCUAAAAAAUCUGGAAAGUCUGCACUCCUCGAUUCUUUCUUAGGAAGGUAAACUAGUUUGAACAUUGAUAAGUACCCGCCUUAUGCUGUGUGCUUUGGUUGUUUCUAUGGGUUUACUGAUGUUGAAUUCUCUAAGCUGUGUUUAACUCCAGGAAAUUUUCGGACAGCUAUAAGGCAACAAUGGGUGAACGAUAUGCAGCAAAUGUCAUUGAUCAGCCUGGGGUAAGUAGCAAUAGUCUGAACGCUUAUGUUAUUUGAUCACAUGUGGAUGUUAAUGAGGGUUUUUGUUUUUUUUUUUGGUUUGUUUCGUGGAAUUGUUGGAUGAUGCAUUUUUCAGGGUUGUAAGAAAACCCUCGUAUUGCGGGAGAUACCAGCAGACAGAGUUAAAAAGUUUCUGGCGAAUAAGGAAACGUUGGCAGCAUGUGAUGUUGCUGUGGUCGUCUAUGACAGGUUAGCUCAGAGUCUCAGAAACACUUUCUGUUAUGUGUGGAUGAAGUCCUUAGAAAAAAAAAUGCGAUAAAUUUUGCAGUUCGGAUGUAUACUCAUGGAAAAAAGCGAGGGAAAUAUUGAUGGAGGUAGCAAGGAAGGGUGAAGAGAGCGGUUAUGGGACCCCAUGUCUCCUUGUUGCAGCGAAAGAUGAUUUGGAUGCAUAUCCAAUGUCGGUGCAAGAGUCUGAUAGGGUAACAUGCAGCAGCAGCCUAAUAUGAGAAAAAAAUUGGUGUGGGAUUUUGAUUGGUGGUCCCUAACUAAACUCGGAUGUGAACAGGUUUGCAUGGAAUUGGGAAUAGACGUGCCAGUGUCGAUAAGCAUGAAACUUGGGGAGACAAAUAGUCUCUUCUCAAGAAUCGUGAGUACAGCAGAGAACCCUCACAUGAGCGUUCCAGAGACAGAGUCGGGAAGAAGAAGCAAGAAUAUCCGUCAACUCGUGAAUAGCUCACUUGUGUUUGUCUCAGGUUCUUCUUUUUCUUCUUCACCAAAAAAAAGCUAUCAUUUCCACCAUUUGAACCGGUUUGGGUUUAGCUUACUGUAAUUACUAUCGCAGUGGGUACAGCAAUUGGGUUUGCCGGUUUGGCAGCGUACCGUGCUUAUUCCGCAAGGAAGAAUGCUUGAAGAUUUAUUUGCCUCCAAACACAUAUUAUUGUUAUUAUAUCUCUGCUUUGCUUCUUUUUUUUGUGUGUAUAUAAUAAAACAUCGGACAAGAUGGCUUCUCCGUUUCCUUGACCCCAUUAAUUUUGAAGUUAUUUCAGAUACCAAACAGUAUUCUUCUACUCUGAAGCAUUGGCAUUCUUUCUUUUGUGGUUUUUUUUUGGGUUGGAUUUAGGAUGUUUUUUCGCUCAUCUUCGAGUAACCAAUCUGGACCUUUCGAUACUUUUUCUUUACUACAAGCAUAAAUGGGUUUGAGAAAAGCCCAUAUGUAAGAUCAUUAGGCCCAAUCUAAAAGAAUAAAUACGUAAAUGAGGAAAUGAAAAAUGGACCCCCUACAUGUUAUCUUGUAGAAUCAUAAGCCUUACAUAUUCUUCUGGUUCUCCUGAGUUUCAAACCAGAUUAGAUUAUAACAAGUCAGACCAGACAUCCUACAAACAAAUUAAAGAGGAGAAAAAUGGCGGCUUUAUCAUCAUCAUCUUCUUCGUCUCUGUUUUUCUCCUCCAAAACAACUUCUCCGAUCAACAGUAGUCUCCUGUUCCCACCAUCUCUCCGCCGCAUCUCUCUUCCCUCUUCGUCUUCCUCCUUUUCAUCUCUCUCUUCUUCUGCUUCUCUCUUCACAUACUCUCUCAGGAGUUCCCGAAGAUCAUCUCCUCAGCGAUUUACCGUUAAGGCACACAAGAAGAAUGUACUUAUUGUCAACACCAACAGCGGCGGUCACGCCGUCAUCGGCUUUUACUUCGCCAAAGAGCUUCUCUCCGCCGGCCACGCCGUCACCAUCUUCACCGUCGGUGAUGAAUCUUCCGACAAGAUGAACAAACCUCCCUUCAGCCGAUUCUCCGUAAGAUGAACGAACAAAUCUCCCUACCUUGCUGAAUAAUCUUCCCUUAAUAAUCAAUCUGUCUUACAGGAAAUCGUCAGCGGCGGAGGGAAGACGGUGUGGGGAAACCCGGCCGAUGUUGCGAAUGUGGUCGGAAGUGAAACAUUCGACGUUGUCCUUGACAACAAUGGCAAGGAUUUGGAUACUGUCAGGUCUGCUUUAUCAUAUCAACGAACUAGUAUAAACUUUUCCAGAAUUUCCAAUUUUUGAUGAUCACACAUAUAUAUGUUAUAUAUUCUACAUUUUUGGAUUUUGUGGGAACAGGCCAGUGGUGGAUUGGGCUAAAAGUUCCGGCGCUAAGCAGUUCUUGUUCAUAAGCAGCGCCGGGAUCUACAAGUCCACCGAAGAACCUCCUCACGUUGAAGGGGUAAAUAUAAAGUUAUAAACACACACACGGGAAAGAAAAGAAAAGAAAAAAAGCUUUUAACACUCUCUCACUUGUCACCAUUCACUGCUCCAAUGGUGCAGGACGCAGUGAAAGCCGACGCAGGUCACGUGGGAGUAGAGAAGUACUUAGCAGAAACAUUCGGGAAUUGGGCCUCGUUUCGACCACAGUACAUGAUCGGCUCUGGCAACAACAAAGACUGCGAGGAAUGGUUCUUCGACCGUAAGUUCUUCUCAAACCAACCCAAUUUCAACACAGGACUGAACUAAACAAGUAACCGUCAAAAUUUUGUUUUGGCAGGGAUUGUGAGGGACAGAGCAGUGCCAAUCCCAGGAUCAGGACUGCAGCUAACCAACAUAUCUCACGUGAGGGACUUGUCUUCGAUGCUCACUUCAGCCGUGCACAACCCUGAGGCCGCUUGCUGCAACAUCUUCAACUGCGUUAGUGACAGAGCCGUCACUCUUGACGGUAUGGCCAAGCUCUGUGCCGCCGCUGCUGGCAAAACGGUUGAGAUCGUUCAUUACGACCCUAAAGCCGUUGGGGUUGACGCCAAGAAGGCUUUUCCAUUCCGAAACAUGGUAAACUAAAAAGCUCUUUUCCUCCUUGAUUCAUUACUUUUAUAACCUUGCCAUUGUAUGAUCACAGCAUUUCUACGCGGAGCCUAGAGCAGCAAAGGAGAUAUUAGGGUGGGAAAGUAGAACGAAUCUACCUGAAGAUCUCAAGGAGAGAUUCGAAGAGUAUGUGAAGAUUGGCAGAGACAAGAAGGAGAUGAAGUUUGAGUUAGAUGAUAAGAUACUCCAAGCCCUCAAAACUCCAGUGGCCGCUUGAUCAACUAAGGCCAUAAAAUUUCAUCCCUUUGUAACUUAUAAUGCUACCCUGUGCUCCGUUUUUUUAUUUUCUCCCGGCUCAUAUGAAAUGAAUAUGAUUCAGCUAAAAGAUCAUUUAAAAUCCAUGACCAAAAGAGCAAUACCAAUUCUAGGUUAUGUGAAGAUAACAGUUUGUUUCAAGGAAAUAGAUUUCAAGACUGUCUUGGAUCCUUACAUCCUACUAAAAUACGUUUUACCAAAUAGAGAGAGAUAACACUGAAACUACCUACAUAGCAACAAGAGCAUCACGUCAUCUUACCACUUCCUAUUCCUCCUCUUGCUUGAUUUUCAGACCUCCGAGCUUUGAUUCCAGUUCAUCGUCUUCUUCGCCUUCUUCAUCUUCGUCUUCAUCUUCAAAAUCUUCUCCUUCAGGGUCAUUAUCGUCCAAAGGACCAAGCUUGUCCAGGGAGUCCUUAAACAUGUCAUUUACCUCGUCGAUACCUUCCUCAGAUAUGAAGUUUCCGUUGAUGUUGAGAAGCUUGAAAGUAUUUUUCUUCACAACAGUUUGUGCCAAGGCUCUUGCCCCAGCUCUUCUGAUCAUAUUGGUGUUCAGGUCAACUUCAGCCAACUGGUGGUGACCUUCAACUGCCUUUGCGAUUAAGAUAGACCCUUCAUCUUUGAGUUCAUUCUCAGAUAAAUUCAGCUUCGAAAGAGACUGUUUUGAGGCGAUGCAAGCUGCCAAUUUCCCAGUGGAUUUUACAGUAAUAUCGUUCCCAGCCAAUUCUAGAACUUCAAGACAAGGGGCAGACUUAACUAGAGCUUCAGAAAGUGCCUCUGUUCCUUCAUCCUCCAAGUUCAGGUAACUCAUGUAGAUCUCAGUUAAAUCAUUCAACACUGAUACAGUCUUGGCCAGGGCAAUUCCACCUUCGACUCCAAACAUGUUGUCACGAAGAUCAAGUUUCUUUAAGUGGCUACAGAGUUCAAGUGCUUCAGCUAGCGCGACACCGCCUUCUGAACCAAUCCUCGUAGAUGAACACCGGAAAUCUUCCAAAGAUGGACACUGCCUCACUAUCUCGGCAAUGGCAAUUGCUCCUUCGUCUCCUGUCAUGUUGUUAUGAAACUGAAGAACCCUCAUUUUGCCAGUAGAAGGGAGAAACUCACGAACUGCUCGUGCAGCAUCCUCGGAAAUGCCAUCAUUCAUAAGAUAUAGCUCCUCUAAGUCAUGCUGAGACUUGAUGAGAGAGCCAAAUGCUCUAAUUCCUUUUUCUCCCAAAGCAUUGUCGGAAAGAUUCAAAUAGCUUAGCUUACAGCCCUCCAAAGCAGAUGAAAACAUAUUCAUGACUUCAAGUGCUUCUGGCUCUGGUCUUCCCGCAACAAAAUCCGAGAGAUCCACUUCCGUCAGCUGAUCCUUGAUGGAAGACAAAACGCUGACAGCAAAUUUGGCUGCUUCCGAGCCAAAGCUCCUGUUGCCAAAACGGAUUUUGGUGUAGGAGUUACGCGGCUGAGUCAAAGGCCUCAAGAGCUCACGUGCCUCCUCCUCAUCAAUAAAUGCUCUACGGCCACCAGAUAUAUCAAACAAGAUAUCCCCAGUCUUGUUCAACUCGACCUCGGACUCUUUUUGAGGACCUCGUUUGAUCACUUCAAGCAAGAGCUUACUCGAUUCUUUGGCAUAGACCUGAACAGCAGAAGUUCCAUCACCAUCAGGCUCGUUCUGGAAGUGUUUGUUUGCAGUGGCAAAUGCCAACUCUUCAAUUCGCUUGGCGUCUUCCUCAGCCUCUUCCACGCUCAAAAGGCCGUACUUUCUGGAGAAGAUGGAUGGGGUCGUUAUGUUCUUGAUCAUCCGCUCUACAAGCAUCAGCCGGGUACUCUUACUCGGUGGCCACAUCUUCACCGAUACAACACGGUUCUGUGUGGUUUGACCUGAAUGAUCCAUGCCACUUGGUCCUGUAAUUCAAGACAAGGAAAUCAGUACACGAUAAUAUUCAAUAUUCAGGCAAUGACCUAUUUGCAGGCCAAGAAAACAAAAAACCAUGGCGCCAAUCUAUCUAGAGCUUCGUGUGUUAGUGAGAUCUAAUCGAAAAAGAAAAAGGCGUUGAAGGUAUAAGAGAAUCUAAAUAAAUUUCUAUUGUAGACACGAAAGAGCCUCAUUUAAUUUCAGAACAAAAAUUGCAUUUUCAUACGGAAAUUUGCAUUUUCAUAUGCGAAAAAUGUUCUUAAAAAGCCUUAGUAGAAAAAUCGAGAGUGCAAAGGAGAAGUAGAGAUUUCAAACGAAAAAGAAAACUAGUGGGUUCAAAUAUUUGCAAAACCAGCACAUUGGAGAGGAGAGAUGCGAUAAGGAUAAUCAGAAGAAGAAAAAGGAAGGCGAUAGAAACCCAGAAAUGUAAGAGAAGGAUGAAGUUAAGGGUAAUGCAUUCACCUUUUUUUUCUCAGCGUAUCGAAAUGGAUCUCUGGUUGCCGAUAAACGGAGAAUCGAAGAAAAUAGAAGAGGUGUUUCGUCAGAGAAGCGUAAAUAAGAAGCAGUGUGAGAGAAUCAUUGAUCCGCGUGAUGAUAAUGGAGGCAAUGAUGCGUUUUUAAAAAAUCAAAAUUUCAAAAAGCAAUUCUUCACACAUCUUUAAAAAUUGGCCUUUUGAGAGCCAAUCCAUGAAAAUUAGGGUUUAUUCUAAACGUGGAAAUGACAAUAAAACCCCUACACAACCCUAACCAGUGUCAAAGAUAACCACCCAUAUCGACGCCGAAAGCCCAGUAAUAGCCUGUAUUGAUUGAAAAAAUCUUUAUACUAUAAAGCCCAAACGUCUUUGAUAAAGCCCAUUAUUUGCAGGCGAUGCAAUAAUUUGAGAGAGGAGAGAAUAGGACAGAUGAGGAAGGUGGAGGAGACGGUGGGCCACCACCGCCAGGUGAACUCGCCGACGGUGAACUGUCGACAGACGCCUCUCUUCCACGCCUUCUGUCUUUCACACUCCAUUUAUGUUAGUUUAUGCAUUUAUUUUAUUAUAUUUUCUUUAAAAAAAAUACAUCCUGUUAAAUAAUAAUAAACGUAAAAAUGGAAACUUCCCUUUUGUUCUUCUUCCCCACAACCACAAUUAAUAAUGGCUGGCUUCUACUAGCUUCAGAGCAAAGAAUGGUGAAGCGCCGGAGAUAGAGAUCUGUAUUCUUCCAUGUCCGGAGCUUCUUCAUUCUCUGCGAAGUUCCCUCAAAAGAUCUUGUAAGCUCCCCUCCCUCAUCUGAUUAAGUAGAUUGUUGGUAGGUAGGACGAGUAGAGAGGAAUUAGGUUUUUAGAUUUAGUUCACCAACUUGAAUCAAUUGACUACCCAUCGUAACCCUAAUCCGAUCGAGGGAGGCGCAUAUAAUGUGAAGUUCUUGAACCAAUUUUUGUGCCACUUCUGUAAUUGCAGAUUCGCUCGAGAAAUGGACAGCACUCUCGCAACGGAUCCAGGUUUGAUAGAUUCGGCGGGAGUGUACCUCAGGUUAGGGCUAAUCAUAGAGGGGAAGCGAUUGAGAAAGAAGCCACCGCCUGUGCUGUCACGUCUGGCUUCAUCUCUAGAGAGAUGUGUGUUGAUGAAUGAUGAGAAAUUGCCGGAGAUGAAAGAGCCUGAGACCGUGUUUGACGGGAGAUGUACGCCUGAGAUCAGCAUAGGACACUACUUGGAUCGCAUCUUCAACUACUCUGGAUGCAGCCCCUCCUGCUUUGUCAUUGCACAUAUCUACAUUCAUCUCUUUCUCCAGAGGACUCGAGCUCUUCUCAACCCGCUUAACGUCCACCGCCUUCUCAUAACAACCGUCAUGUUAGCCGCCAAAGUCUUCGACGACAGGUUUCUCAUCUUUGACUCUUUUUCCAAUUUCACUAUGGACACGAGAGCGAGCCAUGAGUUUUCUAGUUUUCCAUGCCAUUGCUUGUUUCCCAUCCGGAUCCGGUGACAAUUAGGAAACAGAGUCGAACACACUAGCUGUUUUUUGGAGAUGAGGGUCUUUUUGCUUUAAGAUGUUUCUGUAAUUGAAAGGGUAUAUUGAUUGGUCUCUGGUGUUGUGCAGGUAUUACAACAAUGCAUACUACGCGAGAGUGGGAGGUGUGAGCACGAGAGAGUUGAACAGAUUGGAGAUGAAGUUGUUGUUCACCCUUGACUUCAAGCUUCAAGUAGAUCCUCCGACGUUUCACACACAUUGUUGUCAGUUAGAGAAACAGAACAGCGAGGGAUUCAAGAUCGAGUGGCCGAUAGGAGAAGUAUGUCGAGCCAGGAAAAGAGACUUGGCGAAACAGCACACCAGAGCCAGUCUGCUCUCAAACGACUGCGCGCUGAUCUGGAACUCAUGAUGGAAACUUGUGUGUUUGGUAGUGAUGAUUCUUUUGCAAGACUGAUUAGUUGUGACAAUUCACAUUUGUGUAGUAGAAAGGUUCUAGAUUUCUUACGAACUCAAUUAGUGUUUUCAGAGGUUGUUAUAUAUAUAGUUUCCAUCGAGACUUAAAACUAGACAGAUUUUCACAUUAAUUAGCAACCGGAGGUUCUGUCGGUUUUGAGCAUAUGGUUGAUCUCAGGCGUUGGCUCGGCAGCAGCAGCAGGAGCUGUAUGUACAUUACCACAACCACCUCAAUAUCCAACAACGUUGCUGAUUAGAUUACAAGCGACUAGACUAGUUGAUGUAUAUACGAAAUUCAGAUACGUAUAUGCAUAAUCAGUUACCUUCAAGUUUAGCACGCCACGUUUCACCUUCCUCACACAUUCGGAUUUGGUACAGUAGUUCGGUUUGCACUUACAGAACACGAGUCUGUUGUAUACGAUCGAUAUGUGAAAAAACAACUAAUGGUCACCGUAUUAAGUACAGUACUACAUAAACAUGAAUCCAAUGGACUUGGGGAUGAGUUGUGGGGGGAGGAUGACCUUCCAUUGUUACAACUGAAAGAAGAACGAACAAAACUAAAUGUGGUGACAAGUUGGAACCGUGUUAUUUUAAUUUUAUGCACGUAUAUACGUGUCGUGUGCUUAAAUCUUAAAUGCGCGCCUUUGUCCAAGAUUUUCCUAAUUCAUCAAUUAUCAUGCGAAAUUAUAAUUUUUGGAAUUCUAUUUCAGUAUUUCAUAUGUUUAUUAUAUUUAUAUAUCAUGCAGCAGGUUUGACUUCUACUUCGAAUGAAACAAAUUUACUUAUGAGAAAGCUAUUUCUUUUAUGAUGUAGUAUUGUGUUAAAAUCAAAAUAUAUAAGUAGAAAAAAAAGAAUCAUAUUGAUUAUUAUUAAGGUUUUAGUUUUUCUCCAAAAAAAAGAAUCAUAUUUGCAUGUUUAUAUGAUUUUCUCCACAAAAAAAAAAAAGUAAUGUUUUGAAAAGACGUUCGAAGUAGACAUUUGUUUUUUUAGGUAAGUUAAAUGAUAAGAAUUAGAUUAAGCUGUUAAAGUCUAUCCCAAAUUUGGAUAGCUACACCAGUUUCACAUAUAAGAUAUAACGAUAUACGGAACGGAUCCUAUUUUUGUCGUUGGCAUUUUUUUUACUUGCAACACAGUUCCCACAUUUGGAGCAAUAAUAUUAAAACAGCAAAUCGAAAUCGAAGGCUAUCUCAUAACGAAAGAGCAAAUGAUUGCUGAAAGAGAGAGGGAGAGAGAGAGGGAGAGAGAUAUGAGAUUUUACGUUAAUGCGCAAGGUAGGUGAGCGUGACUGCCUUAUUAGAGCAUGUACAUCAGAGAAUGAAGAGGUUCAUAGCACAGUUUUUGAAACAAAAAAUCUUAAUAUUAAAGAGACAGUAUCAUCCCGACGAACUUGAAGAGACGGUAUCAUCUCAAAAUGAAGCAUCCUGAUUGGUCGAAUUAAAAAAAAAAAUUAAAACCAAAAAAAAAAUGUUAUUAUAUUUUGGUGAACUCCUCUCUAUCAUGAUUUACUUUUUUACAUGCUCUUAGUCGUAUUAUUUACUUUUUAUCAUGAUUAGAUCAAUAUUUAAUUAUUUAUUAUUAUAUAAACGUGGGUGAUAGGUUAACAUCAAUCAAUCAUUAAGCUUCUUAUCCCAGUUUAUUUUCUUUGUAUGUAUCGUAUCAUCAACACUAUAUAAAAUUAAAGAACUGCAAAAGUUGGUGGCCACGUAUGACGGGUUCAGGCGAACGCGCUAGCACGCAGAUAGCCAUAUACUGUUUGAUGGUAAGUAACCAACUUAUAUAUGUUAUUAUCACUUAUUUUUAUUUAACACCGUUACCAGUUUUUUCUUUAUUAUCAUAUAAUUAAGUGGUACCAUUGAAAUAGAUUUUAGAGUAAUGCAUUCGUUCUUCAUGUGGAGCUGUGUGAUUGAAAAUAAGUGAUCAAUUUCCUAAAUUUAUAAACUGUACAAAUAACCCAUAAAAUUAAAAGAAAGCUGGGAUUAAAAAAGAGACGCAUAAGCUGGUUUAAUCCUCCAAUUUUGAUUAAAUGACGACGACAGAUCAUAAUUUUUUUUUCCUUAAAAGGAUAACUGAAGUUGGUCAACCACAAACUAGUAAAUGUACUCAUAAAGUAUAGUGGUAUUCAGUUUAUGGUUAGUGUGGUAGCAAAAAUGUAAACCUACUAUAGUAAAGUUUUUAGUUAAAAAUUCCAGAUGUGUUUUAUUAAUUGGAUUUACUAAAUCUUAAUAUAAGUUUUACUCUGUAUUUUGUUUUAGUUUAUAGAUUAGGAAUGGGGGAAUCACCGAAUCAGAUACGUACAUGGACGUGUAGGAGCAUGCACACAUUACUAAGUUCGCACACAAGCAAAAUUACAUUCCAGUAGGCAAUAGCUACGAGUUGUCGCUGUAAGAAUAAUCUUUUUAAAGGCCCUUUCUCAGACCAUUAUAUUUCUUAUCUUAUAUAUGUGAAUAAUUAUAAUGUAAACAAAAAAAAAGGUAUUUCCCUGUCUUAAGAUUUUACGUAAGUGGAAGAGUAAUAAAGAGACGUUGCCGAGGUCUUGGCCAUUGCAGGUCGACAAACAAUUUUGCCUCUCCGUUUCAUUAAUGGACGGUCCACCAGAAUCUUUAUAUUAUUCACCACGAAAUAAAGACUCCUAUUUGUUAAAAAAAAAAAAAACUCCUAUGAUAAUAUCAAAAUAUAAAACAUAGAAUCACAUCUGCAUGACUUUUUUUAAUGAAUUUAUUUUAUAAAAUCAGAAGCAUAAAGAAUCUCAUCUCGAUAUACAUAUUUUCUGUGCCGAUCGAUCAUUAAUUAGGAAGCAUAAUAAACCUACUUUAUGUAAGUGUUUUUAGUUUAAGUUGAGGUUUAGUAAUAUUAUAAACCCAUCCAAGUUAGUUUCUUUCAUUGCGACUGUCUCUAAUAUCAAUGCAAAAUUACCGUUGAUAAAAAAAGAUCCAAUCUUAUACAACCCAGAUUUUUAUAUAAAAAGAGACAAUAUAUAGCCUAUACCCAACUCAAAUAAUAUUAGAUAUAGUUUGAGUUAAAAACAAAAUUCUAUUUAAAAAAAUCUAAAUUCGGAAGUGCUUUCUGAUCAUAAUUUCCCAAGAAAAUCGUAUCUCAAAUUCACAUCAAACGUAAUAGAAGUUUACAUUUGAUUGAGACAUUAUCAAUAUAUAUCAUCUGCACUGCACGCGUAGGCUAAAAGAUAUAUAGAGGAGAAUAAAGUAAAGAGAGAAAAAAAAAGAAUAGGUUUUGACCAAUAAAAAAGCGAGCCCAACUUGUCCUAUAUCACUCUUGUCCUGUUGAUUUUCCCUAGUGUGUGACCCUAUAUAUAUAAAUCAUAUCCUUCAUGCAAAGUCACCUGAACAUUUCAUAAGUCGAUUCGAUACAAGCGUCGACCAAACAUAUAUAUAACAAAAAACAUCUGAAGUCUCAAGCUUAUAUUGCAAAGUUUUAUUACAUAUAUAUAUUAGAGUUCUAUAUAUUAUCAUCAUGAUCAUGAAGAUAUCAAUGGCCAUGUGCAAACAGCCAUUACCUCCUUCGCCGGCGUUAGACUUCCCCCCGGCGAGAUUUGGUCCCAAUAUGCUAAAUCUUAACCCAUACGGUCCAAAGGAUAAAGUAGUGGUCAUCAUGGGUGCUACCGGAACAGGCAAAUCACGACUCUCUGUCGAUUUAGCCACACGUUUUCCGGCGGAGAUCAUAAACUCCGACAAGAUCCAAGUCCAUCAAGGUCUCGACAUUGUCACUAACAAGAUCACGGCCGAUGAGAGCUGCGGAGUACCGCACCAUCUCCUCGGCGUCUUGCCUCCUGAAGCCGACUUAACCGCCUCGAAUUUCCGCCACAUGGCGAAUCUCUCAGUUGAAUCUGUCAUUAACCGUGGAAAGCUUCCGAUAAUCGUUGGAGGUUCCAACUCUUACGUUGAGGCUCUAGUCGACGACGAAGACUACACAUUCAGGUCGAGAUACGACUGUUGUUUUCUGUGGGUCGACGUAAAACUUGACGUUUUGCGUGGAUUUGUGUCUGAGAGAGUCGACAAGAUGGUGGAGAAGGGAAUGGUUGAGGAAGUUCGAGAAAUUUUUGACUUUUCGGAUUCCGAUUACUCGAGAGGGAUCAAGAAAGCAAUCGGAGUUCCAGAGUUUGACAGGUUUUUCAGAAACGAGCCAUUCUUGAAUGUGGGAGACAAAGAAGAGCUGUUGAGUAAAGUGGUUGAAGAAAUAAAGAGAAACACUUUCGGUUUAGCUUGUAGACAAAGAGAUAAGAUUGAUCGGCUAAUAAAGAUCAAGAAGUGGUGCAUUCAGAGAUUGGAUGCGACUCCGGUUUUCACACGACGGAGGUCGACGGUGGAUGCUGACGUGGCAUGGGAGAAGCUGGUGGCUGGACCAAGCACCGAUGCUGUGUCACGGUUCCUGCUUGACAUUGCCAGCCGUCGACCGCUGGUGGAAGCAUCAAGCGCGGCCGUAGCGGUUGCGGCGGCCAGGGAACGCGAGAUGUCGCGGUGUCUAGUGGCGUAAUCAGCUGUGACAGAAAGAUAAGGCUGGAUUCGGCAAAUGUGGUUAAUUUACACCAUGCGUUUUUUUGUGACUAUGACGUGGCAGUGUGCAGUAAUUCGCAAAGACUACGAUGAGUGGGGAAAAUAUACCAGAAAAUAAAGCUAAUAUCAUCUAUAUAUAUUAUAUAUGCAUCGUAUAUAGUAUUGUCAGAUACUGAAAUUUUGGCAUAACGGUUAUUCAGUAUUAUCAUCCACUUUUUGGAUGCAAGUGAAGACUCUAAGUGGAAUGCUAUAUCUGGAAGUGGGACUUCCUCGCUUGUAACUAUUUAAUUUUAUAAUACGAUGACUAAGUUUGAGUGGGCCUCUUAAAGUUGGUAUACAUGACUACAGGCACAACUUUGUUUAUAAUUGAGUUUAAAACUUUGUUUAUAAUUGAGUUAAAUAUUUUGUGAUUCAUCAAACAUAAAUGGAAACAAAAUAGAGGAAAAGCAAAAUAAGAUUAUCCAUAAAACCACAGAGAAAAACGUAACAGUUAUUUAUUUAUUUGUUGGUUUCUAGCUAAAUUUUAUCACAUGUUUCUAUAAUUUUCUAUUUUAUUUAAAUUAUGUUUAUUUUUAUUAAUUAACCAUCUAUUUUUUUCUUAAAAUAUUGAUCACUAAUUGAUUAUCAUAUUCUCAUUUGAAUUCAAUUUAUUCGUUUAUCAUAUCUGACUUUCAUUUUUUUUCUUCUUCAUCGACAUAUCAUCUUUUUAUGAUAAGAAACAUGAAUUAUAAGUAUUCAAUCACUUAGUUCUCAUUUUUCUAUAAUUUUUACAAUGUGAACAAACAUUUAAUAAUUUAUCUUCUUAGAAGUCGAGAGGGUAUGAAUUUUUUUAAUAUAGAAUAGUUAAUUAUAAUAAUUAUUUAAAAGGAUUAAUUAAACAACAUGUUCUUUCUUAUUUUUACUUUCUUUUCCUUUUAAAAUCCCUUUUAGAACUUGUUACUUUCUUUUUUUAAUUGUAUGGUUUUCAUUUAAUCGAUUACUUUAUUUCUUUGUUGACCUAAUUUUAAUUUUGUUUGUGAGCUAAACUAUAUAUAUAAAAAGUUAUAGUGGAACUCUCUUUAGUCUAAUAGUUAAUUAAGAAUUUAUUAAUAUUUUGACACCAAAAAAUCUGGGUAUCAAAACGUAACAGUUCUCAUUAAACUAAUAAAUUAACAUUAAAAAACUAAAACGAUAAAUUAUAAAGCAUGAGCUUUCAGCGUAGAACCUCUUAAUUAAUCAAAAGGAAAUUAUGUACUUACUUGCCAUUAUUUAAAACGAGAUUUUUUAAAAUAUACACAUGAGAAUUAAGAAAAUGAAACUGUUCUAAACCACGAAAAUCAAACGAUAGCUUAAAAAUAUUUCAGCAGCUUUUUUUUUGUUAGUGGAAUUUUUUCGUUAAUGAGUUUUUUGAGUUGGAACAAAAAGAAGGAAAAGACAGAAGCAAAGAGAAGUGUAAUAGAUUCUUAAUUCUUUGUUAGCAAUUUAGCAAAUGACCGUACAGUAAGAAACAAUACCACGCGCCUGACGCCGUACAGAGGAGCCGUUGACAAAUUGUGUUGCAUUAUUCGAUAUUUAAGAAGUGGGUCCCAUAUUUCAAUCUUCUAAGUGUUUUUUAAUGCGUUCUUAAUUGGAACCCAUCCAUUAUAUUAUUCUCUCAGCCCGUGUGCAAUUGGCGUCUCUCCAUGCUUUUGGGUCCCACUACUUAUCAUAAACUAUACUCCCUCCAUUUCAUAAUAAGUGUCAUUCUGACACAUUUCACACAGAUUAAGAAAUUAAUAAAAUAUACAAAUAUACUCUUAAUUAAUAUACUUUUAUAACAUUUAAUUACAAAAACUAUUAUCUUUAAAUAAGAGAUAAAACAUGAAAUAAAAGUAAAAAGUUAUAUUGAAAUGCAGAAUGACACUCUUUUUGAAACAAAAAAUGAAAUCUAAAAUGACAUUUAUUAUGAAACGGAGGGAGUAUAUAAAAUUGGUUUUUUUCAAAAAAAUUAAAUAUAUAAUAAAUAAUAUUUCCGAAUGUCAAAAAAAAUGAUCACUUAUCCUUAAAAAUGUAUAUAUGUUUCCGGACAGGACUGUAUUAUCACUUUGGCAAUGGCCUGGUGCGAUGUUUUUGUAGACUGAAUACUGAAUACUGAAUAAUAUGUUUAUGGUGUUUUGACUUGGAAUUUGGAAUUAUAAGAGAUAAGGAACAAAGUGGAACAAGACAAAGAACAAAUUGCAACCAAAAAAGAAAAAACAAACAAACAAAAUAGAGUAAAAAGAAUCACAUCUCUUGAGCAUAAUAACCCAAGAAUUCAAUUCUACAUAUUGGUCCCAUCAUUGCGACUUUUAUUUUUUAAAACAAAAAGUAAGAUUCCAUGAAUCUUCAUUCUCUUUUGUUUCAAUUUUUAAUAAAUCAUCUAUUUGUUUUUUUUGUUUGUUUGUUACUACUAUAUAAUAUAGUCUUAUUUUUGGUCGAAGAAAUGAAUUCGAUUAAAGUAUGUCAAAGUAGAGUUUUCUGUGUUGUGCUUGUGGAGUUUAAGAUAAAAUUAGGAGACGUCUUUUAAAAUCACACAAAAGAUAUUGUGGUGUAAAUACAAUAGACGGGCCUAAAAUAUGAUAUGUAAUGGGCCUACAACAGUCUCAUCGCCCUAUCAUUUUAGGCCCAUAUGAAAUGGAAGUCCAUUCGCGUAUAAAGCGAGUGAAGCUCACGCGAUUGAUUGAUUGAUAAUCCCAUCUCACACGUAACCAUUGUUUUUGUUUGGUUUGGUUGACUUUUGGACUGGUAUAGUGUGAACGAACGUACAACAAGUAAACUAAAGGGCGUGAAUUAAAGGGAAAAAAAAAAACAUUAUUAUAACUAAGAAACGAAGAUAAACAAAAGGGUGUUCGAAGAAGAAGACAUGAGAUGAGACAAUAUAGUUGAGAAAGGAAAGAGGAUAUUAUAUCAGUGAAUGAGUCUGCCUCCACAGGUGAAAGUGACGAUACAGGACUCAUCCACAAAGACUGUAUAGUUGUGAGCAGGUUUGGCUAGCAAUGGCGGAAGCCGAACGAGAAGGUCGCACACGCACUCGUUGUCCAUUUGCUUCAGCCACUUGCAGCACUCUUGUUGCGCAAACGUCUCUUCUCUGUGCCGGUGAUGAUGGUGGUGGUGGUGGUGGCGGCGUCGGCGGCGUCGGUUGUGUGUGUUGUCGUUGUUAUUGUUGUGGUGGUCAUGGUCAUCGUGAUCAUGGUUGCGAUCAUGGUCAUUGUGAUCAUGGUCAUUGUGAUCAUGAUCAUGGUUGCGGUUGUGGUCAUGGUCAUCAUGAUCGUGGUCAUCGUGGUCAUCGUCGUCAUGGUCGUGGUCGUGGUCAUCAUCAUGGUCGUGGUCAUGGUCAUCAUCGUCGUCAUCGUCGUGGUCAUCGUCGUGGUCAUGGUCAUGGUCAUGGUGGUCAUGGUCAGGAGGAGGAGGAGCGAGGGGAGGAGGAGGUGGGGCAAUGGGGGAAGGAGGUGGGACAGUGUUCAUUGGGAGGCGUGAGCAAGCGUAGUUAGCCAGCGCGUAUUGAGAGGCGCAUAGUGGACGUGGUGGUGGAAUCUGUACGAUUCUUUGGCCUCGCGUGAAAGAGGAAGAAGAGAAUAGAGCCAGAAGCACAAAAGCUACGAGGAAAAGUGUUUCCAUGGGGAGUGUCUGUGUGUGAAGAGAGAUCGUUUGGUGGGUCUCGUUAUAUAUUCAAUGCGAAAGGAGGCACAAAGAGGAUGUGAAGAUUGGUUGCAGAGGAAUUUUAGGUUCAUCUGAGAAUUUCAUUUGAUUUGCGUGACUUUGUUAGGUUGCUUGUAGAGCUUUCUUUUAGGAGAGUGUUUUUCAUUUUGGCGCAACAACAAGACCUGUUCCAAAUUCCACAACCCAAUUUUAAUCACAAAACCAUUAUAGCUAGCUGCAACUCCAAAAGCAUGACAAAAGAAAAAACAUUAUAUAUAACUUGGAUUGAUCAAAUGGGAACACAUAUAGAGUGUUGAACUGAUUGAUCCUAAUCUCCAAGAUGAUUCUUGAUUAAGAUCUGAAAAGAUGAUAGCUUUAAAAAACAAGUCUAGCAACUGCUUUUAGACCAAGAACGGUUUGAAAAACAUGCAUCAUUUGGUCACUCUGCACAUCGUUUUAGCUCCAUGUGAUUGAAACAAGUGCGUUCAGCUGUAAUCAGACUGCGAUUUUAAGACAGAAUUAAUCACAGAGACGGUCCGGCUCCUCAGGUUGCUUGGUUUUGGCUACUAACAAAAUCUCUCUGUCUUUGUGAACUUGUUCCCUCUGCUGUUUCAACUUAUCUUUCCUCUCUUGCCAACCUUCCUCUAAGAGCCUCAGGAAGUUAUCCUUAAUAGCAAGCAAAGGAUCUCUAUCAACAAGCUCAUCCUCUCUAUAAGCUUCCCUCAGUACAGCAGUCUUGAUCCCUCCUUUGAGCGACAAGUAGAAGAUACCUGAAUGGCGAGUGAAAACACUCGAGAAUGCGUUUGAGAAGCGGAAUUCGUCGCAGAACUUGCCGAGUAUAGGCACGGGGAGCCUCUUGAGCAGCGAGAGAGACAGCAAUUCGUGGACAAGACCAACGGUUCUUUUCUCCAUUUCCUUGGAAGCUUGAUCCAGAUGAGACGCAUCCUCGUAUGGCGAUAUGUAGUCUUGCUCUAACCAAUCCCUAGUCCACUCUCUCAUCUCCUUCCUCAGGAAAAACCCAGACGGCAGCUUCACAUCGAAAUUGGGUCGGACACGGACUCCGGUUCGAAGGGUUUCUUCUUCUGCUCUCUGCUCGAUAGCCGAUUUGGCGAAAUCUGGGUUCCAGUCGACGAGCUCGAGAAAGGACUUGCCUUGUUCGGGUAGACCCGUUAACCGGAAAUAGUUUGGGUAUCUCUGAACCAAUUUGACAAGAAAAUCAUUGGGGAAUCCAAAAUCUCUCUUGACAUGAACCAGUUUAUCGGCACUGAUGACCUUGUCUUUGGCCAUCAUCAGCAGUUUGCAGAGCUUGGAAACAAUUAAGGGCUCAUUGUCGGCGUAAAUCCUCUGCUCAUGGUCGAGGAAAGCCCUGAGACGGGGCGUGGGGCGGAUGAAAGGAACGGGCUCGGACUUGGGUUUGAUGCGAUCGUAGUAGAUGUCGAACAGAGAAGGGUUCAUCUCAACGAAGCUCUUUGCUUUGAAAUUGAGGCGUAACCUCUCGCGCCGUUUCUCGAGGUAUCUGAGCGGAAUGACUUGACCUGGCUCGUUCAACACUUCUUUCACCACCCGAGCGCACAGCUUGUAACGCUUGUCCUGCUCGAUCGCUUCGUCCAGCUUCCUGUCCUUCUUCCAUACCACUUUCAAGCUCGAGAUCCUUCUUCUGAUUUCUUGCCCUAAAUUUCUCCCUUUCUCCAGAGAUUUUGCGAUUUCGUAGCAAAUGGUAUGGUUUCUGAGCACCAUUCCUGAUUUAAAAUUAGGGUUUUUCUACCGGAGCGUGAGAGGUAAAUUGCCUACAAACAAACAAACCCUGGAACACCGGUAAGACUAUAUCCCCCACGCCGCCCGAUGAUGCGCCACAUUCAUGGGCCGUGUGUUUACUACACCAAGUCACUAAACCCAAAAUCCAACACUACUCACUUGUUACUGUAUAAUAUAUACACAUAUAUGAAGGUCUUCAACUUAUUUUACAUAGCCAAAUGCUUUUGGUCUUAUCUUCUUUUACCAUCUCUCUUUACAUAUCGGCAAAGUAUAUUUCGAUUUUCAGUGAUCACCAUUGAAUUUACAUUAUAGUUGGCUUUCCGUAUGAAAUCACCGUCUAUUAAAAAAAAAAAAAGUCUUGAUUAUAAUUCCUUGUAUUGGAACUAAACUAAUACAUAACCAAGAAGGAAUCAUGAAUCGAAGAAGAAUUUGUUGAAGAAGAUUGAUGAUUAUGCAUCAUUGGAGGAGAGUAGAAAGACAGCACAUUUCCAGAUGAUGUAAAGACGAGCUCUCUGCUCCUUUAUCUGCUUCCAACAUCUUUUCCAUGUCCUAACCUUUGUACUACUACUGCAUAUUCUCAACACGACUGUCGCUGCCAUUGUUCCUAUAUAUCGAGAAAGCUUUAAAGGCUAUAUAACGAAACUAGCUAAACUAAUGUUUUUGAUAGGUGGUUUUAGCUAGCCGCUGGAGAUAUUAGAUUUGCUUAUAUAGUAUCUAUGCUGCUGACUCGAACUUGGUUGAAAUAAUUUGGCAGAUAUAUGGGAUAAAAAGAUACAUUAUUGAAUUGAAUAGUAUGGACCUACAUGUUUCUCAGUGUGAAUAGAAAAUACAUGGUGCUUUAGCCAUUAGCUUCGCUUUUGAGCUAAAAUCUUUUGAUUAGUAUCUAUCAUUGAUUAAAUGUAAUUGGUAUUGUCUUCCUUUUUUUUCUUUUUUUGGGAAAAGGCACAUCGGUUUUAUAAUUUGUUUUUGCUGUGAGGAUAUUGUUUGAACAGAAAUCUUCUGUUCAUGCACACAUGAGAGUUAAUUUUCGCUUGUGGGGCUUUAUGUCUUUGCUGUGUUGGGUGGGAAUGCGAUGAUUGAUUAAGUAUCUCAUUUAGUAGUUAAGAAUUCAACUUAUUUAGUUUUGGAUUUGUUUAGGGGUUUAGUACAUGAAUGUGUUCAUCUCACCACGUCACUCGUUUUGAUGCCCUUGAAUAUAAUUAGAUUUCCAACAGACCCAAAGGGGUAUCAAUUUAAUGGUUUAAUUUCUAGUUUUUUUACUGUGUGUUUUGAGGAAGAAAAGUUUUUAGUUUCAUUAUAGAAUGACCAAAAAUUUCUCACUAUGCCUCGCAAGACACAACUAGAAUGACCCGGGCCGGUGUUAUGAAUGAAGUAUAUCCGUAUUCAAAGCUUUUGUUUGGAAUGCAAAGAGUUUUUUUGUUUUUUUUCUUUUUUUUCUUUUUUUUUUAUAAAAAAGGCAAAGAGUUUGGCAUUCGGCUGAUUACGGAGCUAGGCAUUGCAAGCGCAAACAAUCACAUUAUAGCCUGACCCUACCUACUCGACGAAUACCUUUUGUAUUAUUCACAGAAAGAUUUAAUACUUCCAAAAUUGUAUCAUUAUUUGUUUUGCUAAUGCACAAUUUGUGUUUCACAUAAGUUAUUACUCAAGAAAUGAAAACUAACAGUAUUUCUUUCAUUCAUUUAGUAAUAUUCAUUCUAUUCUCAGUAUCAUAUUCCUUUUUCUCUUGUACUUUUUACUAGGAAAAAAAAGGAGAUCUUUUCCUUUCGUAAUAACAAUUCAAUUCUCAUUUCUCAACCCGAGAAAUUCAUUCAUUGUUUACAGGAGUGAAGAGAAAAAAAAAAAAUGGUGGCGACAGACAGAACAUAAGGUGCGAUAAGGUUAGUUGUGUUGUCUAAUUAAUGAUUACCAGAUGGGUAGGUCGUUUAAACAUUCACAAAAGUAUUAAUAUAGAUAUAAUAAUAUAUAUUUUGACUAAUCGAACCCAAAAAGAAGAAGAUGAUUUGACAGGUAAUUAACAAGGAAGAUGAACUCAUCAAAGAGUGGUCAAACAUAGCACGUGAGUAUGAUGCGCCAAAUUCAAUCGGUACAUUGAUAGAUCAGAACCAUAGAAAGUAAACGAUUAGAUCAAACAAAUUUAGCGAUUUCUCUUUCUCAAGAAUCAAAUUGUCUUUUGAUUAACAUUUUCGUCCUCGAUUUUUUUGUUUUUUGUUUUGGUUUGAGAGAGAAGUACAAUUCGGAGAGUCGUAGCCUUGAAGAGCUGAAUUCUUCUCUACAAAAAAAAAAAGAAGCCAGUCUCAGUGUCUUCAAGGGUUAACACUUGGUAACUCUCCAAGGGCUUUCUUGAUGUCAUUCUGUUUUUUGCAGAAAAAAAAACAUGAAAUGAACUAGCCAACCGCUAAGACAGGUAACGAGAUAAAUAUAAAAAAGAGUGAGUGAGUAGUUAGUAAGACAGACAGACCUCGAUGGAGAGAGGUGGAACUGUUGGGCCAUAACGAUCAAUGACUUGACCAUCUUUCCCGACCAAGAACUUAGUGAAGUUCCAUUUGAUCCUCGUUCCCAGGAAAGUGGGCUUCUUUGACUUGAGGAAUUUGUAGACUGGUGCUGCGUUUUGCCCAUUUACACGGACCUAAAACAAUCAUCGAUAGAGCGUGCAGAAGAAGUUUACAAGAGAUACAUAUCAAUGAAUAAGUGGAGUACUCAUGUGAAGCAAGAGUGUUGAAUCCAAGAGCAUCUUGAAUUCUUUCUUGAUGUCAGUAGUCAAAUAAAACAACAAGAAGAUUUCUGUGAGGCAUCUUGGAUGGUUGAAAAAAAGAAGAGAGUUAUAUAGAACCUUUUGGAAAACCGGGUAUUCGGCCUUAAACCUAGUACAAGCAAAAGCAUGAGCAUCUUGGCUUGUUCCAGGCUCUUGGUACAUAAACUGGUUGCAAGGAAACGCCAAGAUCACAAACCCUGAAACAUUUAGCCAAAUUUUGAGCAUUUCAAUCCCCAACAAACAUUAGAUACGUUUACAUAGAUAAAGCACUAGAGACUCUCAUAAACAGACAGUGAGAGAGACCUUGAUCUCUGUAUUUCCGGUAAAGUUCUGUGAGCUGUGUGUAAUUGGUUUCCGUGAAACCGCUGUUCCAAAAAAAAAAAGAAAAGAAAAAAAUAUAACAAAAGAGAAAUUGAAAGGGAAUAAUAUAUCGAGAAAGAAAAGAAAGAGGACCAUUUAGAAGCGACGUUGACGACGAGGAGAACCUUCCCUUGAUAAACGCUAAGGUCAACGUCCUUGCCGGAGCUAUCCUAAUUUCCGGCGAAGAAAUAAAAAUAUUGAGAAAAAGAAGAGACGCUUCAUCUAACUCGGUCGGUCUUAGAAAAGAAAGAAAUUAGGAAUCAGAACCUUGACGGUGAAUUGGUGGAUGGAUUUCUCGGAGACGGAUAUCGAAGCACCCAUCUGGCCGGAGCUCUCGCCAGUUUUGUCCUCUUCUGUCGUCUUAUCCUUUCUUCACACCCGCACAAUCCGUCAGCUUCUGGUAAAGAGUUUUAGUUUCAGGAGAAACAAAUAAAAAUUGAAUUUUUUUUUUUUUUUUUUCCAAUUUGACUAAUAAAUAUAAAAAACAUUUGAGCUUUUUGUCCCAUCCUCGAUUAGGAUACAGUUUCACACACGGCCAGCCUGGGUAAUGCGUGCGUAACAAACCCAAUCCGUCAACACAUUUAUUUGUGACUUUGCUGUGACCAAUUUCCUAUAUAAAACAAAAAAAAAAAAUCAAAUCAAGGGCGUGUGCUGUCUUCAAUUUAGAACUGAUUUAAUUUGGCACAUUACGUUACGUUAGUAUAUAAAAAAUAUUACCAUUAAAAACAAGUUGUGAGGGGGUAAAACGAAAUUAAAUGCCUAAAUGAGCAGGGUGCUAAGCUAGCUCCUUUUCUCAAAUCUCUCUCUACAAAAUGACUUUACCUUCUUCUUCUCACAUAUUGUUUUUUUUUUUUUUUUCUUUUUCUUUUUUAUGCAUUCAUCUCAUAUAUGUACACACUUACAGAGUGCCUUUCUUUCUAUCUUGUAAAUAAAUAGCCCCUCCCUCCCUCCCUCCUCCCUAAACAAAGCCUUGGAUUAUAUAACAUCUCUCUCUCUCUCUCUCUCUCAAGUGGCCAAGCAUAUUUGAGCCAAACAACACCUAACGUUCUUUGUUUCUCCCUAAUUCUUCCAUACAACUAGCCCAAUGUCUCUUUUAUAUUACACACGUCGUUCCGCCUUCUGUCCAUCUGCAACUCAUCUCUGAUGCCAAGUGCCCGGAUCUGCAUAUCCACGAAUAAAAUGAUACUCAAGUUUAUAUUUUAUAGAAUCAUAUCGACCCAUAAAGGGGGAAGCUGCAGUAAAAUGAUUUAGUUUAUUACUUGAGGACAACCACAACGAUUUCAAAUGUCAGGAGGACUAAGAUGAUAUCCCCGUGAAAUGAAAGUGGCUCAUCCAACUAAUAAGGAUCAGGUUUCCUACCUAAACCUAGGACACAAUUCCAGCAUAAGAAUGUUACGUACGACCCACUAACUAAGAGGGCUGUUUCAGUUUGUGGGAGAGUAAAGAAUGUCUUUUUAUUCUUCUCCCCUUUCCAGUGAGUCAACAAGCAUGAAUAUCCAUAUUACCUCUCAUUGCUACUGGAACAGGACCUUCCGAAUGCGGCUUAUAGUGAUAAGACUGUCUAUUAUUAUAUGCACGCGGAGAAUGACUCCACCUCUGGUUCUGAAACCUUCCAGAGUCACGGUGAUGGCCACUGUGUGAGCUGGAUUGAUAAAAGCCUUUGUGUCUGUCAUGAUAUCGUGGACCUGCCAUACGGAAAAGCAUCCACAGCUAUUAGCAUGCAUGGCCAAGUGCCUAUAUUCGUUCAUAUAUGCCUAUGCAUGCAUAAAUAAUUAAAAAAAAAAAAGGUUAAAGGCGCCCCCCACCAUGAGAAGAGGGCGUAUGAUAUCUCCAAUUGUCUUGAUUCUCACAUGGUGCAGGCCUCGUUCUCUCACGGCUAUCAUAAUAAUUCCUUUCUUCAAAAUCCGGCGUGUAAUAGGAUCUGUGAGGGUAUGAUGGACCUUCUCUCCGCGGCUUUAUAUGGUGGUCCGGCUCCAUAUAUGAAUAGUGAUGUGAAGGCGGAGGUUGGGGAUGAGGAGAUGGAUAAGGCCUAUGCUGGAAGUUACAGCCCUCCCCGCCGCGUGGCAUGCUUUUUGACAAAGAUGCACGGGAACUAUAAGAUGAUUCAGGACUUCGGUAUUGCAUAGGUGGAUUCAUCCUUGGAAGACCGGUCUGUUGAUCUCCCUGGCAAAUUGACCAGAUAUGAAGUUAGUAAUCAUGUCUCAAUCAUCACUAUGUUCAACCGAAACGAAUCUUAAAAGAAGAAAAAGGACGCACAUGCAUGCUGGGAUAUCCUCUGCAAUCAAAGCCAUUUGAGUAAGAGUCAGACAUGGCACACUGAGCAUUCUGUGAAGGGGGAGCUGGUGGAGAUGACGUGCCAGAGACAGACUGACAAUUUGCAGACUCUUUAUUACCAGCUUGAUCAGUGAUUGCACUGCUUCCAACUUCACAAGGUGGAGCCACGUCUUCCAUUUCAAGCUCGCCGUCAACAUCUUCCAGAAUACGGGUAUGCCUUUCAGUAAUGGAGGGUGUGACAUGUUCUUCAAGGAUUCUAGACUCAUGUUCAGGGGUGACAGACUCAAAAUCACCCCCAUCCGAGUCACUUCCUUCGUCUUCAACCUUAAGCAUUGCAGGCAUGCAGAAUCCAUGAAGCUGGAGAGUUGAAUUACUGAUACACAAAGAUGAAGUAAGUUAUGACACUAGAGAUAAAGGAAUCAAGAUCCCAAGACUGAAUAGACCCAACUCUCACCUUCCAUAUUCAUCCACCAGCAUACCCUCCAUAUCUCUAACAGGGUCAUCCAGCGCCCUUUCUGUUCGAGCCGAGCGCCGAGAAUAGAGACAAGCAGGAGCAUUACUAUGUGAGUCAAGUUCUUUAAUAUGGUGACGAACAACAGAUUCAGGAAGUAUCCGUCUUUCGAGCCAAAGCCUCAAAACCUAUAUAAAAGCAGUAAGGGUGAGAAUUAAUAUUUAUAAAGAAAAGAAGAGCUAAGUAAAAUUAUCACAUACCUUCAAGCACUGUCUCCGGUUUUCUUGUGUGAUAGCUCCAGCUGGGACCGCAGCAGCCAAUAGGCGAGGCAGCAUAACUUGAAUAGAUGAAAGAUAAACCCCACCAGUAUCACCUGAAGAGAAAGACAAUAUUCACAAAGUUAACUCGUCAUUGAGAACCUCGAUGAUGCGACUAAGCUAUAACAUUACAUAUGUAACUCACCACUCAGACCUUUGGAGCACUGAGCAAUAGAAUCCACAAGGAAAAAUAAGUCCACCCUCCUUUGUAAAUUAGACUCGCUUUCCAAAGUAUGAGCCAGAAUUUCCAUCGCCUAAUUUAAGACAUAGAGAUUCUUAACAAUAUAGGCCAAAAAUCUACACAUAUAAUGUGUUUUAUAAAAAAAAAAAACCCACAGUUGAAACAAGCCCCUUUCCUCAUGGAAGAGGUAGAUAAGAAUAUAAGGCUUUCUAGUCCUAUGCUUGUCAAGAGUGGCUGGAUGCCUACAGCAUCCUAAUAGCAGCACACAAAACAAUAUACAUAAGGGCUUUUUAUAACUUGUAGUAAUACAUAAAAUUAGUUUGAUUGACAUGGUCUCUGUUUAAUUGAAGGAAUUAACUAUUUGGAGAAUGUAGAUAGUGUUUUACCAUAGGACAGAUCCAGUUAUUAUGAACUUAUCAAUCUCGAAGAAGAAAUUUGUGUCCAAAAAGCAGAAAAAGUUGGAUUUCACCUUUACAUAACAUAUGGCAUCAACAAAACAGAUAAUGUCAAAAGGAGGACGAACGUCUCGUACCUUUGCCGACAUACCAAAUUUCACCAAGUCCAUAGCCAAACGAGUUGCACGGCCAAUGGUCUCCUUUGUCCUCACCAACGAGCCAAGUGCGGUCUCAAAAGAUUCAAUAGUGAAUUGCACAUCAGAACUAACAACUUUCUUCACCUGAGGUAUACCUGUUUCAACUUUCCUUUCUUCUAUGACAGUGUCAUCACUCAUAGUUUUUUUCUCACCAAACUGAAUAUUGGCGCUGCAAUUAUUGUUGUUCUGCAUAACAUUUGCACUUUCUACAGUAGACAUAUGGCAAACUGAGUUGCUAUGUGAAGUACCCCUUGCAGGAGAGUCAGGAGAUAAACUCAUUAUUUCACGUGAAAGGUUUUCAGACACUGAGACAGAUUUAGUCGCUUGGAUCUGCUCUUUCUGCUCAUCCGCCUCACAGCUGCCAAUGCACACAGACAUACCAUAUUGUUAGUCAACGAGUUCUGUGAACUGGAAAAAAAUUUAUGUAGAUAAUGUCUGAAGAGACUUAAAAUGAUAUAUUACUAAAAAUCAAUAUGCCUAUCCUCUACAUAGACUUUCAACAUAAGAGCAAAUUUACAUAGGAACUGGGAAUCUUCAAUCAGAAAGGAACAUAAAAACUACACAGUAAAAUUUAGGGAAAUGGGAUAGUAUGUCAAAAUCAAAAUAGAUAGAUUCCUAUUCAUGACCUACAUCAAUCUGAAUAUGAAUACUCCAUACAAAUAUUCCACUGUGUUUAGAAACUGAACACCUAAUUGUAAUUUCAAGAUCAGUAGACUCACCUCUUUUCCAGCUCCAAAACAUCUUCACAGUACACUGUUUCAUACCGAGGUUCCGUCUCUUGAACGAUCAUAUCACGCUCAGUAGCAGAGAGGGCCGGAUCCUGUUUUAUAUGGGCUUGUUUGUCACUAUCAACUUCUUUACCCAGACUUCCUUGUUGUUUUUUCAGUAGAGUGUUUUCAGUCUCCUGCAUGUUUUCAGCCUCCUGAUUAUUCACCACCGAACAGAACAACGGAGAAUGUUCUAUAGCUUGGGACUGAACGAUCUGAGUCAUAUUAUCAUUUUUCUCACAUUUUUCUUUCAGGGAAGAAUCUCCAGCAACGACCAAUGAACAGUCACAAGAAUCAUUGUCCUCGUUUUGGUGUUGGUGAGGAGAUUGAGCAGGUACCCUUGAUGCUGUCAUAUCCAAAUCCGAACAUAAACUCGGGGGAUUAUUUGCAGAUGAAUCCACAUUAUCAGGAUUCAAAGGGGUUCCGUAUUUCUCACAUUGACGUGAGCAUUGCAUGUCAAUAAGAUCGGACUCACUAUUUACACAGUUCAUGGUUUGCGAUUCCUCCGAACAACCCUGAACUACUUCAGAAACACGAGUGUUCCCUUCUGGCGAACUGUUAAGUUGAUUCGAUUGUGCUCGACAUACUUCAUCAUCUGGCGUCAUGCUAAAUUCGUUCUCAUGAAGCUCCUUAGCAGUCUGAUCUGAGGCCCUAGACGGAGACAUUUUGCCAGAAGGUUUCUCCAUAUGAGAAGGCAAUACAUCAACCAUAUCAACUGGGAGCUUAGUAGACAACUCAAUGCUGUUAAAUUCUAUAGCCGGAGAAGUAUCAUGACCAGAUACAAUAUCAUUUUUUUGAUUAACCGAAGGGCUUGUCAGCAUGGCAUCCGUUGUUAGAGUGUCUUUCGAUAAUCUUUCUUCAAACUGUGAAGAGGCAUUGACCUCUUCAUCAGCAUAAAAAGCUCUACUCAUUCGAACUCUGGCUCGCUUUACCAGAGGCAAGUGUUCAUCACCAUUCUCUUCACAUGGCCUCUCAUUCAGCGUUUCAUGAGAAUUUUGAGAUCCCUGGGAGCUAUCACACGCCUUGGAUCCAGAACCUUCUUCUGCUUCAACUUUAGCAGGAGGGUCUAUAAGGUCACUGGUCUCGCGUUUUCUGGUAGGCUUCCUCUUCUUCCUCUUAACCAUGGUACUAAUUUGGAAAUCAAGCCCUUUGUUGAGCUCAUGACCUCCUUCAAAGUCCUCACCAACCGCAUCAGAAUGCUGGAGUCUGGAACCAGAAUCCACACCAAUGCCUUCAUGCCUACUAUUAUUGUCAGAUUCAACUGUAGCAAUUUCAGAUGCGUUUUCCUCAUCAGAUCCGUGCAAAUUUAGAGCUGAUGAAACCACAUCAUCUGAUUCAGAAUGACCGGACCUAUGGAUCCUCUUUCUCCUUCUUGUAGUUCCAUCAUCUAUAUCAUUGACACUGUGGCCCCCAUCGCUGCAUCGAAGCAUGGACCUUGGAAGCUUAUCCAAUUCCAACCUUGAUGAGAUUUUAGAUUGCUGAACUAUCUUCUGUGGAGCACACUUUUGAGACUGUACCCUUCCAUUUCUUCUCUUUGACGAAUAUGUAGCUAUCUCACAUAGAUCUUUAGCUGCUGCACUAUCACAGGGUCCAUUACGAGCUAGACUGUUAUGACGCAGAGCUAGCAUUUGUUCAGCAGCUGAAGCAUCCUCGCUGAGAAAAGUCGAUUCAUCUCUACCAUGACAAGAAUUUGACUCUAUUCGAAUGUCAAUUAGAUUUUCAGAGGCCUGAGGCUCUAUAGUAUUCCCAGAACUUCCAACAGUUGUUUCUUCAGCAGAUUUAGGAUCAUUAGCUUCGUUCUGCUGCUUCAGCUUUUCGUAACUCUCUGUGAUCUCUUUAAUUGCACGAACAAAAUCUGAACCUUUCGCAUGCCGUUUUGUCAAAAGCGAUUGCUUCUUCUCUUCAGUAAACGAUUCAACAUCAGCAGGAUUGCAGAAAGCUCUGCACUUACACCAAAAAGUAUUACUAACUGGAUACGAGGGGAUAAACGAUAUUAAACUGAUCUACAGGGAAGAGCAGAAAGUGAAAACAGUUUUCAACCUUAAACUGAUUCACGUAAUCAAUUAAAAUUGAUAAGUGGGCAGCUGUGCUAAAAUGCUCUCUUCAUAACAAUCAUACAUCAGAAUUCUCAUAACCGCGGGAAUGAAUGAUGCAACAAAAGAAAAUUCAAUGAUGUUGAUGCUAAUCUGCAAAGUAUAUGAUUAAACAGUUUUCAGAGAAUUUAACAUAAAAAAGCCAAACAAGAAGCACUGUUGCCAACUAUCCUGAAUGAAGAAACGCCAAUCAAUUAACAUUAACUCAAGUAGACCUAGAAUUCCGCACAAGGAUGAUUCUAAUUCUAAACCAAGUAAAAUUAUAGCGUAGAGAGGAAAUACAUCACAUCAAGUAUAUCCUGCCUCAACAAGAAGUUAAAAUUUUAUGGCCAUAAAGAAGCUACUAGCUUCUGCGUCCUAAUCUAGCAAGACAAGAACCAAAUUCAUGUCCUCGAAUGAGAAUCAUGAUAAAAAUGAAUUAAUCUAACGGGGACGUAAUUUUAAUGACCUCGCAACGGAUAAUGUUGGAAUUCACAGAAUAAGGGAAGUAUGACAAGAUAGCAAAACAAUAUGUAUACGAAGGUAAUAGUAAAGGCAUGAGAACUCACAUCUGUUGUGUACCAAAAAAGUGAACCAACACUUUCUUCCAAUCGGCUGAGUAGCCCCACUUUUCUGGUUCGCUAACCUGAAAUUGCUCCAGAAAUCAGAAGACGGGCAAGAGAUCCCAAAAGAAAAAAAAAAGACUCAAACAGAACUGGAAAGUAGAAAACCAGACAUCACUCGCAAUUACUAUCACUAGAUCACAACUUCAGAAGAUGUAUAGCCUACAAACUUGCUGAAUGAAAAUCUACCAUGUAAUCUGUUGCAAGCUAGAUGACAUGUAUCCCUCUGGAAAGUAUCCAUAUCCCUUAGGCAGUCGAUAAUUGACAUAAACAUCAAACUAAAAAUGAUCUUCCAUCUUAACUAUACGGAGAAAAAGGGUGAGAUACACAGACAUGCAACUUCACACCAUAAUAAUAUAACGCUAUCUACCGCCAUCAGGAACAAAAAUCAUGAAACUUGGGAGCAAUCCUUUUCUUGCAGAGCCAAACAUAAACACAAUAAGCAACCAAUAAAUGCAAUAAAGAGAAAAGGAAGGCAGAGAUGCACGUACGGCGGCAGGCCAAGCAGGAUGUCCUUUGACUUUGGCAAGCACGAGAUCGCCGACCUUCCACUGUCGCCGGGCGGAUGCUGCGGCCGCAGCCUUACCACCGCCUUUCUUGCGGCUCGGAGCCAUCAGGAAAAGCGAAAAGGAUGAUGAGGAUUCUAACUCUCCAAGUUAAGCCAGAACCGCAGGCGAAAAUUAGCAGCUUGGCAGUGCCUAGGGUAUUCGGUGACAGAUUCCGCUAAAGAGCUUGCAGGCAUUGAAAAAUCCCAACCCAAUCGACGGAAGCACGCGAGCAAGAAGCUAGAGAAGUAAACCCUAAUCGAAACGAGGGAGAGAUAGAGAGAAGAAACGAUCGAUUGUUGUGGAUUGAUUCGCUACUGUGGAAGAAGGAGAAGAAGAAGAAGAAGAUUCACCCACGAAACCAUAAGGGAGAAAGAUGCUGAUUGAUAGGAGGAGCCUUUGUAAAUUGUUAAUGGUUCGGUCGGUGUAGGGUUUGCAAUGUUUCAAGGACUUGUAUAACGUGCGCCAUACAUGCGUAGGUUAACGUUUUUUUCACAAAAGCUUUUUUCUGGUGCAAAAAUUAUUUUAAAAAAAAAAAAAAAAUCGAAAAUAUGCUUGUGAGUACAGAAAACAAAACCACGUGAUCCAACUACUCCUUUAAGCCCAUUUGACUCGAAACGGAAUGUCUUGAGCUUCCUAAGCCCCACUCACAGCCCAUAUUUGUCUGUUUUGUAACAAGUAUUUUUUAACACAUUUCAGUAUUUCACACAUACUAAAAAAAUUUUAAGUAUGUGUGAAUUCCAAAAAGAAUUUCUGACAUUCUUUUUUUUUUUCAAAAAGAAUGUCGUUUUAGAAUUUCAAUAUAAUUUUUAACAUAAAAUACCAUUUUUAACCUCAAUAAAUUCAGAAAAUUAAUUAUAAAUAUAAUUUCAAAAGUUAUUUUCUGCAAAUUAAUAAGAAUAUAAAAAACAUUUUAUCUUAUUUCUUAAUUUGUGUGAAGAAUGUCAGAAUGACAUUCUUUGUGAAACGGAGGGAGUAAUAAUUUUCUAUUUCUAAUUAAUACACUAAAACAUCAAAAUUAAAACUGAAUACUUUUAAUAAAAA
This 33030-nucleotide long non-coding RNA is filed under the name Eutrema salsugineum. RNAcentral describes it as "long non-coding RNA (ESAL_LNC001263)". Lineage: Eukaryota; Viridiplantae; Streptophyta; Magnoliopsida; Brassicales; Brassicaceae. The record is from RNAcentral.